GCCUCACGCGGUGGCGGUGGCGGUGGCGGUGACCGAGGAGCCUGAGGCGGGGGCGGCUGCGCACGCGGUGGGCUCGGGGGCGAAGAAACAUGGCAGCAAGGAGAAUUGCACAGGAGACUUUUGAUGCUGUAUUACAAGAAAAAGCUAAACGGUUUCACUUGGAUCCCAGUGGUGAGGCUGUAGGGGAAACUCUUCAGUUUAAAGCUCAGGAUCUCUUAAGAACAGUCCCAAGAUCUAGAGCAGAUAUGUAUGAUGACAUUCACAGUGACAGCAGAUAUUCCCUCAGCGGAUCUGUAGCUCUCUCUCGAGACACUGGGAGAGAAGGCCUGAGAGGUGAUGUAUUUUCAGGGCCUUCCUUCAGAUCGAGCAACCCUUCCAUCAGUGAUGACAACUACUUUCGCAAAGAGUGUGGCCGAGAUCUGGAAUUUUCCCACUCUGACUCUCGGGACCAGGUUUUUGGCCACCGGAAAUUGGGACAUUUCCGUUCUCAGGACUGGAAAUUUGCACUCCGUAGCUCUUGGGAGCAAGACUUUGGACACCCAGUUUCUCAAGAAUCCUCUUGGUCACAGGAAUAUAGUUUUGGUCCUUCUGCAGUAUUGGGGGACUUUGGUUCGUCUAGGCUGAUUGAGAAAGAGUGUUUGGAGAAGGAGAGUCAGGAUUACGAUGUGGACCAUCCAGGGGAGGCUGACUCUGGGCUCAGGGGCAGCAGUCAGGUCCAGGCCAGAGGCCGAUCUCUAAACAUUGUUGACCAGGAAGGUACCCUCCUAGGAAAGGCGGAGACUCAGGGCCUGCUCACAGCUAAGGGGGGUGUGGGGAAACUUGUCACGCUGAGAAGUGUAAGCACGAAAAAAGUACCUUCUAUAAAUCGUAUUAUUCCCAAAACUCAGGGCACUAACCAAAUCCAGAAAACCACCCCAAAUCCUGAUGUGACCCUGGGGACAAACCCAGGGACAGAAGACAUCCAGUUCCCUACUCAGAAGAUCCCUUUGGGGCUCGAUCUGAAGAAUAUUCGGCUCCCUAGAAGAAAGAUGAGCUUUGACCUUAUAGAUAAGUCUGACGUUUUUUCAAGAUUUGGAAGAGAAAUAAUUAAAUGGGCAGGAUUCCACACCAUAAAAGAUGAUGUUAAAUUUUCCCAACUUUUCCAGACUCUCUUUGAACUUGAAACUGAAACAUGUGCUAAAAUGCUCGCCUCAUUCAAAUGCUCCUUAAAACCAGAGCACAGAGAUUUUUGCUUUUUUACUAUCAAAUUUCUAAAGCACUCUGCUUUAAAAACACCCAGAGUUGAUAAUGAGUUUUUAAACAUGCUUUUAGACAAAGGUGCUGUGAAGACCAAAAAUUGCUUUUUCGAAGUCAUAAAGCCCUUUGACAAGUACAUAAUGAGGCUUCAGGACCGGCUUCUGAAGAGUGUCACACCCUUACUCAUGGCCUGCAAUGCCUAUGAGUUGAGUGUCAAGAUGAAGACCCUCAGUAACCCACUGGACUUGGCCGUUGCCCUAGAGACCACUAAUUCACUCUGCCGGAAGUCUUUGGCCCUUUUGGGACAGACAUUCUCCUUGGCCUCUUCUUUCCGGCAAGAGAAAAUCUUAGAAGCUGUGGGCCUCCAAGAUAUAGCUCCGUCUCCUGCUGCAUUUCCAAACUUCGAGGACUCCACUUUGUUUGGGAGAGAGUACAUAGACCACCUGAAGGCCUGGCUGAUCAGCAGUGGGUGUCCACUCCAGGUUAAGAAAGCCCAACCGGAGCUGGCGCAAGAGGAGGAGAAAAGUCCUGCAAAACCUGAAAUCCAGGCCAAGGCUCCUGGUGGUCAGAGUGAUGCAGUCCCCCAGCGAGCGGAUCACAAGGUGGUAGACACCAUUGACCAGCUUGUCACACGUGUCGUCGAAGGCAGCCUAUCUCCCAGAGAGAGAGCUGUUCUCAAGGAGGACCCUGCUUACUGGUUUUUGUCUGAUGAAAGUAGCCUGGAGUAUAAAUAUUACAAGCUGAAGUUGGCAGAGAUGCAGCGGUUGAGCCAGACCUGGCAGGGAGCCGAUCAGAAGCCAACCUCGGCCGAGUGUGCAGUGCGGGCUAUGCUGUACGCCCGGGCAGUCCGCAACCUCAAGAAGAGACUUCUUCCAGGACAGCGGCGGGGGCUCCUCCGUGCUCAUGGGCUCCGGGGCUGGAAGGCGAGGAGAGCAACCAUCGGCACCCAGACCCUCCUCUCCUCAGGCACACGGCUGAGACACCACGGCCAGCAGCCUCCAGGCUCCUCACAGGCAAAGCUGUCCCUGCCAGAUGGAAGCGAUGCUGGCAAGAACUGCCCACCAGACCCAGCUGGACCCUCUGCUCAGGACCCCAGCCCAGAAGCCUCAGGCCCAUCCCCCAGGGCAGCAGUAGCGGACGCCUCCGAAACCCCUCAGACCUCCUCUCCCUGCCCAUCUGCUGACGUUGACAUGAAGACAAUGGAGACUGCAGAGAAACUGGCCAGAUUUGUUGCUCAGGUGGGACCAGAAAUUGAACAAUUCAGCAUAGAAAACAGCACCGAUAACCCUGACCUGUGGUUUCUACAUGACCAAAAUAGUUCAGCUUUCAAAUUCUAUCGAAAGAAAGUGUUUGAACUGUGUCCAUCCAUUUGUUUCACAUCAUCUCCACUCAACCUCCCCACGGGUGGCGAUUCUCAGGAGAGCCCCGUGGACCAUGUGGAAGGGGAAAGGGACUUGGAGGACGAGUUCCCUCAGCAGGAGGCUGAGCUCAGGAGCCCAGAGUUGAUGCCUGAGGAGGACGAGGAUGAUGAGGACGAGGACGAUGAGGAUGAGGAGGGGAGAGAGGAGGCCUCUGCUCAUGGAGGGACCUCCAGGCCAGGAGGAGGGGACGGCAAGUCUGAGGGCUCUGAGGGCAGCCCUCCUGACGACGGCCUCCCCGGCGAGGCUGCCGAGGACGACCUGGCUGGAAUGCCCACCCUGUCACAGGCCUCUUCUGGCACCUGCUUCCCCCGGAAGAGGAUCAGCAGCAAGUCACUGAAGGUCGGCAUGAUUCCGGCUCCCAAGAGGGUGUGUCUCAUCCAGGAGCCAAAAGUUCAUGAACCAGUUCGAAUCGCCUAUGACAGGCCUCGGGGUCGUCCCAUGUCCAAAAAGAAGAAACCCAAGGACUUUGAAUUCGCCCAGCAAAAGCUGACUGACAAGAACCUGGGUUUCCAGAUGCUGCAGAAGAUGGGCUGGAAGGAGGGCCAUGGCCUGGGCUCCCGUGGGAAGGGCAUCCGGGAGCCCGUCAGCGUGGGAACUUCCUCGGAAGGGGAGGGGCUGGGCGCCGAUGGGCAGGAGCACAAAGAAGACACAUUUGACGUGUUCCGACAGCGGAUGAUGCAGAUGUACAGACACAAACGGGCCAGCAAAUAGAUCAGAACCACUGAUGAGAAAGAUAAGCCCUGAAGCAGCAAUGCCUCCUAAAACAUCACCCCCGCCCUGGAUCUGCCUGGAGCAGUGCCCGAGCAUGGCCUGUUCCAGGGUCUCUUCCGCGAGGACGACAGGCAUCCGGAAAGUGCUAACUCGCCACUUUGGGUGCUUACUGUCUCUGGCUUGUUUCCAUCACUGGAAAUCACAUAGAGAGUUUUAGUGGUUUUGGUCCUUGGUGAAACCUAGAAGAUGUUUGUGAUGUUACAAAUGAAAGUUUUUGUUUGUUUAAGAAAUUGUGAAUGUUGUUAAUCAUUUAGCAGUUGCAAUAAAUGUAGAGGAAACCCA
This is an RNA transcript of Cynocephalus volans (Philippine flying lemur), 3710 nucleotides long. It is a transcript of the gene named SURP and G-patch domain containing 2, with no coding region annotated. The transcript is spliced from 12 exons. Lineage: Eukaryota; Metazoa; Chordata; Mammalia; Dermoptera; Cynocephalidae. The record is from RefSeq and is a predicted model, not a curated record.